This 697-nucleotide ribosomal RNA is filed under the name Candolleomyces candolleanus. RNAcentral describes it as "eukaryotic LSU rRNA". Lineage: Eukaryota; Fungi; Basidiomycota; Agaricomycetes; Agaricales; Psathyrellaceae. The record is from RNAcentral.
CAAGGUUUCCGUAGGUGAACCUGCGGAAGGAUCAUUAACGAAUAUCUAUGGCGUUGGUUGUAGCUGGCUCYUAGGAGCAUUUUGUGCACGCCCGUCAUUCAUAUCAUCUUUCCACCUGUGAGCUAUGUGUAGGCCUGGAUACCCCUCGYUUUGGCAACAARGCGGAUGCAAGGAUUGCUGUGUCGACAAGGCCGGCUCUCUUUGAAUUUCCAGGUUCUAUGUCUUUUACACACCCCAUUUGAAUGAUGUAGAAUGUAGUCAAUGGGCUUUCAUGCCUAUAAAACACUAUACAACUUUCAGCAACGGAUCUCUUGGCUCUCGCAUCGAUGAAGAACGCAGCGAAAUGCGAUAAGUAAUGUGAAUUGCAGAAUUCAGUGAAUCAUCGAAUCUUUGAACGCACCUUGCGCUCCUUGGUAUUCCGAGGAGCAUGCCUGUUUGAGUGUCAUUAAAUUCUCAACCUCACCAGUUUUGUAACGAGACCGGUGAAGGCUUGGAUGUGGGGGUUUUGCAGGCUGCCUCAGUGCUGGUCUGCUCCCCUGAAAUGCAUUAGCGAGCUCAUAYUGAGCUUCCGUCUAUUGGUGUGAUAAUUAUCUACGCCGUGGAUUGAACUCAUGCUUGCUUCUAACCGUCCGCAAGGACAAUUUACUUGACCAAUUUGACCUCAAAUCAGGUAGGACUACCCGCUGAACUUAAGCAU